Molecule: transfer RNA, 95 nt
Organism: Podospora anserina
Lineage: Eukaryota; Fungi; Ascomycota; Sordariomycetes; Sordariales; Podosporaceae
Rfam family: tRNA
About the family: Transfer RNA (tRNA) molecules are approximately 80 nucleotides in length.
Source: Rfam
GGCCGUGUGGUGUAGUGGUAGCAUACUUGCUUUGGGAAUUCGUUCCAAGUGUUUCAACUUGCAAGUGGUCCCAGGUUCAAGCCCUGGCUCGGCCC